AGAGCCUCCGGGGGGCGGAGCCCUGGCGGCACCCCCUCUUUCGCCCUGCCCUCCUUCUCCUUCCACCCACCCACCCCGACACCCCUUGUCCCUCCCCCAACCACUCUGAACGGAUAGACAGGGGGAGAUUCAUCUUCGUCGUCGCACCCAGCUGCUGCUACUGCCAGUGCCACGUGCCUUGCAAGAUAAAGAAGCACCAGCAGAGCUGGCGAGCAGAAACCUGGCCUCAGGGCAAAAGAGAUGCCACAGAAAUAGUUACACAGGCCUCGGAAGGGAAGCCUCCACUGCGUGUACGGCCCCCGUGGACUGCCACAGGAUUUCCUAGGAUCCUCCUGGAAGCCUCAAAGAAUGGGUCAGAUUUUUUGGAUUCUAAGCAUCAUGACACUCUAUAAAAGAGAGCCUGGAGCAACCUUGAAAUUAAGCCACACAGGCAGCCAUUUACUUGGUUAAUGAACAUUGCUAUUUCAUUGGUUUUAAGAAUCUGAGCUUAACAGAAUUCUCAUGAGCAGUUGAAGAUACCCCACCAAUAUUUCCUUUCGGAGAGGAGUCCUGGAUGCUAAAACUGAACUAAUAAUUCCUCAGCCAGAGUUCCUGCAGGUCAGUGUCUAUUCUCCCUCCUGAUGGUAACAGCAUCCCAACAGUGUUUUGGAGAAUCACUCCUCUGCUAUUAGAUGUAUGAAGUAGUGGUACCUGUCUUCCUCUGGCUAACAGGUGGGCACACAUGCCCUAAAUUGGCCUGAUGCCUUUUCUCUGGAAUUGAAGUCUUGGGGAAUGUGUUCAAAGUAGAGUCAUUCCAGCAGUGGCCUCCUGGAGAGAUUGUUCCUUCAUUCCUGCUGCACCAGUGCCCAGAACAGCUCUGGUUUCUGGCCUUUCUGAACGUCAGUUCUUUAGAUUUUCCUCUAGCUCUGUGAGUGACCCGACUUCUUUCAGUGUGUUUUCUUUUUCUCCCAUUAGAGAAACUCAAAAUGACUGAUGUGGCUUGCAACUAAAGAACACUUACUGAUGAUCACCCCGAGUGAGGGGACAACUAGCAGCACCUCCUGUAUCACAAUGUCCAUGGAGAUGUGGCUGCCUUCCUCAUGGAAUGGUCUUUAUUUUCUGGGGGUUCAAUUUGAGAGGCGAAACUCAAUGUGAGUCUUUUGACCCCUGUCUGAAUUGGAUCAUGGAGCUAUCCUAGAAGGGAAGUAACCUAGAAACAGGCUCUUUGAUCUUUGGGUAGAGUGGGAAUGAGUGUGGGAGAAUUUGGCAAGAGCUGGACAGAGGAUCAGGGUCCUGGACAAACCAGCUGGAGUUCAGGAGAGUGCUUCAGUCUCACUAGAAAAUGAAAUUCGCUCCUAAAACCAAGGACACAAAAACUCACAUUGUGCCUUGGGAGGCACAAUCACUGGGGUCCCUUCAGGCUCAGCAAGUAAUGGAAUUAAGGGGCCAAGACCAAUUGAGGAAGGAACCAAUUUUGGAUACUGGGGUACCUGGCUGAAUGAUUCAGAGGAGUCACAUGCAAAUGGGUGUAAAAUUUAUGCUGAAAAACCAUGUUCUUCUGUAGCCAUGAGACUGGAGAAUAUCUUUGUGGGUAAGAUGAAUGUCUCUUCUUCUGGGAUGUUUUCUUUGUCAUUUCCCCUUUUCCAUCUCUCCUCCCUGUGUUAGCUUUGAUGCUCUUUCCAUGUGCCCCAAUGGUAACCUCUACUUGACCUGUCAUGGUGCCUGUAAACUUCAUAUUAUGUAUUUAUUUCCCCAACCAGACAGUGGACUUCACAAAAGAACAACCUUCUUCCUACUUCUUCACCUUCAUAUCCUCAAUGUCAAGUACAGUGCCUGACACUUAACAAAAAUAUGAAUACCGAAUAAGCAAAAAAGAGGCUAAGGAGUUUAUCAGAGGGGUAGAAGGAGAUUCUGUGAAAAGCAAGGCAAUGAAAAGUCCUUUUAACUUCUUGCAGUAUUAUAUUAAGUGAUGUGUUUACAAAGUAUUUUAUUUGAGGUCAAUUCUAAAAGGUAAAAAUAAGAAGUCCCCUGGCAGUAAUUAUGGGAUUUUUAAUAAUAAGGUGAAACUUCUCUAAGUCAUGUUAAAUCUUUUCACACAGGAUAUUUUUUAUUUUGCAAGACCCAUCAGCUAAUAUAUGUAGGAAAUCGUUUCCCUUCACAAUGACAUAUAACAAUUUUAAUAGCACCUAUUAAAGUACUUUACACAUAAUAGUUGUUUAAAACUGUUUGUUGACAGAGAAGAUAUAUUCAGCAAAAUUGUCCUCUUUCUAUAAAAUACUUUUAAGGCUAAGAAUAUCUACUCACUGUUUAGUUCUGUAAUAGCUCACAUUGCAGCAAAAGAUUAAAUGAGAAUAAAAAAGCAACUAUUCUCUAUCUUUUUAUGAUACAAACUUUGUAUCAUAGCUCAUGCUUGCUCUUCUAACCAAUGAGGUGGGGAUUUUAAGCUGGAUUGCACCACAUCUUGUCAUGGGACACAAAGAACAGUUGAUAAUCUUAACUGCACACAUAAAUUGCAUUAAACUCUUAAUCCUACUUGAGAGAAUAGUUCCAUUUACCUAGGGAGAAAGAGUCACUUUCUUCUUUUUGCUGGAAAAUAAAAGCUUGUGAUAUUUGGAAAUGUUAGACUCUGCCAAUGGACUCAUGUCUCUAUAAAUCACCAUAGACAGUGAUUCCUUGCAAAACAGGUUUCAUGUAAUAUUUAUGUAAGCUGCACAUGACCUUGAAUGAAAGCAAGGUUUAGAAGAAACAGGGUUCUUAUUGUUCGACAGAAUGCUUCUCUAUUUUGUCAAAUAUUACUUAGGUCACAUGCGAAUUUUUUUUUGAACUGAAUAAAUGUUUAUUUUAAAGCU
This 2828-nucleotide long non-coding RNA is filed under the name Sus scrofa (pig). Its description in RNAcentral is "lncRNA (ENSSSCG00030070258.1)". The record is from RNAcentral. Lineage: Eukaryota; Metazoa; Chordata; Mammalia; Artiodactyla; Suidae.